AGCUAUGACCCCAAAAAGGUUUAUUCUGUAAAGUUUUUUUUUUUCUUACAGUUACAUAACUCACUGCAGUGCAUUAACACAAAUGUUCCUUCAAGCGUGCAACAUGCUGCACUGAGCCACCUCGCCUGCUCUCUCUCUAUCGUUACUGGCUGUGUGAUCAAAUCAUCUCUGACAGGACGAGGCUUUUCAUGUGUGUGUGUGUGUGUGUGUGUGUGUGAAACUAAAGAGCAGGGACACACACUCAGUAUGACAGUGUGCUGUCAGUCUGCUACUGAAGCUGAGGACGAGCAGCAGCGGCGUAUCACCUUCAAACUGAAGGUUGUGUCGACUUGUCGUUGAAGCUCCGGCAGCAGAAAUGAUCAUCAGACUGGGGAGACUAACACCAGGCUACUUCCGUCUCCUCCAGCGGCAGGUGUCAGGUGAGGUCCGGAUGCAGCCGCAGGGAAACUUUGUCGACCCCAUCGCCAUGGUGAUGGCAACUGUCGGGACGGGGGUGUGUCUGUACAGUGCCAGACAGAUGUCAGAGCGGGUCCAGCUGAAUCAAGACGCUUGAGAUCAACUACAAACCCCCACCCACCGUCUGUCUGUUUGAUCGAUUGUUUUAUCGACAGAAUGUUUGUUUGUUUGUGAAAGUCAGAGGAGGUUAAAGAUGGAGGAGGGUGACGAUGUUUUUGUGUUUGCGAUGUCAACAGAAGGGAAAUCUGUAGUGUGUGAUGAGAGGAAAGUGUGAGUUGUUGUCCAGCAGGAAGAUUUAUUUAGAACACAUUUAUACACAAAAAGUUUCAGAAAGAGCCAACAACCAUUUUAAAACCCACAUUUUCUGUUCAGAACAACACUAGUAACACCAGAUAAAUAAAAUAGAAGAAAAGAGAUAAAAAAAACAACUGUUGUUGAAAUCUCACCAACAGGCUGAUUCUGAAGAGAUGAAGUUUAAGCAUUAGCUAGUUCCUAUACAUUUGUUUACAACACAAAUUUUCAAUGAAAAUAAUUAAAAGCGGCAGAAAAUACUGUCGCAAUACUGCCACGUUAGCGUUCGAAGAUAAACGUCAACUUUUGCUUUAUGAGUAACAGACUGAAAAUGCUGUUGGCAGAUUCAUAAUGAGUUUGCAUUAGUGAAGGUAAAAAACAGAGAAGUCGGGGGGAGAAAACAUGCACGCUCGCCAUUGUUAGCAAUACUAUUCAGUUAUUUUGCACACGGAAACAGCGUAGCAACAUGUCUACAGUUAAAAAUUUUAAAAAUUCCACUCUAUCAACAAACUAUUCAGUUGUUGGUAAUUUGAUGUAACAGUUAAAUAAAUUGUGUUUAAAAUAAUGUUUUUGGUGUGUGUGUGUAGAUUUAUUUUCUCUGGUUUCAUCCACCAAGUGGAAAAGGUCCAAGGAAAACUGGUGCUGUCGGGUGACUGCACAAACUGUACAGAGUGAUUCAUGUGAAUAAAACUCACACAGGAAGGGGUUUCACUGUGAAUGAGAUGAAAGUCAACGUGGUCUUUGACCGAGGACUGUUCUCCCUGUUUUCUUCGGUCUAGUUUUAUGUGUUUGAAUAAAUUGUUUUUA
Long non-coding RNA from Solea solea (common sole), 1554 nucleotides. RefSeq lists it as uncharacterized. The transcript has 3 exons. The record is from RefSeq and is a predicted model, not a curated record. Lineage: Eukaryota; Metazoa; Chordata; Actinopteri; Pleuronectiformes; Soleidae.